Myotis davidii is the source of this 327-nucleotide long non-coding RNA. RefSeq lists it as uncharacterized. The record is from RefSeq and is a predicted model, not a curated record. The transcript has 3 exons. Lineage: Eukaryota; Metazoa; Chordata; Mammalia; Chiroptera; Vespertilionidae.
UUUCCUUCUGAAGAACUACACCCUUGGGUGGCCAUUAGAACCUGGGUGCAGUUAAGCCAGAUGAAGAUUCUAUUUCAUCCAUUAUUUGUGGUGUGAAAAGGACAACUUCAUCAUUAGCCUUCCAUCUGCUCAUGUAAACGUGGACAUUUACCUUCAGCAAUGAUGAUGGAGUUCUGUUUUCUGGUAGACAGGAGUUUGGAUGCACAGCAGAAAAUGUGGUUGAGAAAUUGGAAAGCUACUACAAACAUACUCUGGUCUGGAGAGGCAGUAUGAAGUGUGCAUUGAAGGAAGACCUGGGACUGCAUUUUAGCUCUGUCACCUCGAGGG